CCUACGGGAGGCAGCAGUGAGGAAUAUUGGUCAAUGGGCGCGAGCCUGAACCAGCCAAGUAGCGUGAAGGAUGACUGCCCUACGGGUUGUAAACUUCUUUUAUAAAGGAAUAAAGUGAGGCACGUGUGCCUUUUUGUAUGUACUUUAUGAAUAAGGAACGGCUAACUCCGUUCCAUCAGCCGCGGUAAUACGGAGGAUCCGAGCGUUCUCCGGAUUUAUUGGGUUUCAAGGGAGCGUAGAUGGGUUGUUAAGUCAGAUGUGAAAGUUUGCGGCUCAACCGUAAAAUGGCAAUUGAUACUGGCAGACUUGAGUACAGAUGAGGUAGGCGGAAUUCGUGGUGUAGCGGUGAAAUGCGUAGA
Molecule: ribosomal RNA, 359 nt
Filed under: uncultured bacterium
Lineage: Bacteria
Description: partial 16S ribosomal RNA
Rfam family: Bacterial small subunit ribosomal RNA
Source: RNAcentral